RNAcentral lists this ribosomal RNA (3164 nucleotides) under Clostridioides difficile. Its description in RNAcentral is "bacterial SSU rRNA". The stretch from base 2 to 836 matches the Rfam family "Bacterial small subunit ribosomal RNA", at positions 9 to 873 of the family's 1533-position model. The record is from RNAcentral. Lineage: Bacteria; Bacillati; Bacillota; Clostridia; Peptostreptococcales; Peptostreptococcaceae.
AGAGUUUGAUCCUGGCUCAGGAUGAACGCUGGCGGCGUGCCUAACACAUGCAAGUUGAGCGAUUUACUUCGGUAAAGAGCGGCGGACGGGUGAGUAACGCGUGGGUAACCUACCCUGUACACACGGAUAACAUACCGAAAGGUAUGCUAAUACGGGAUAAUAUAUUUGAGAGGCAUCUCUUAAAUAUCAAAGGUGAGCCAGUACAGGAUGGACCCGCGUCUGAUUAGCUAGUUGGUAAGGUAACGGCUUACCAAGGCGACGAUCAGUAGCCGACCUGAGAGGGUGAUCGGCCACAUUGGAACUGAGACACGGUCCAAACUCCUACGGGAGGCAGCAGUGGGGAAUAUUGCACAAUGGGCGAAAGCCUGAUGCAGCAACGCCGCGUGAGUGAUGAAGGCCUUCGGGUCGUAAAACUCUGUCCUCAAGGAAGAUAAUGACGGUACUUGAGGAGGAAGCCCCGGCUAACUACGUGCCAGCAGCCGCGGUAAUACGUAGGGGGCUAGCGUUAUCCGGAUUUACUGGGCGUAAAGGGUGCGUAGGCGGUCUUUCAAGUCAGGAGUGAAAGGCUACGGCUCAACCGUAGUAAGCUCUUGAAACUGGGAGACUUGAGUGCAGGAGAGGAGAGUGGAAUUCCUAGUGUAGCGGUGAAAUGCGUAGAUAUUAGGAGGAACACCAGUUGCGAAGGCGGCUCUCUGGACUGUAACUGACGCUGAGGCACGAAAGCGUGGGGAGCAAACAGGAUUAGAUACCCUGGUAGUCCACGCUGUAAACGAUGAGUACUAGGUGUCGGGGGUUACCCCCNCUAUUACCGCUACUAAAAUUUAAUGUGGGCCAUUAGCUCAGUUGGUUAGAGCGCCCGGCUCAUAACCGGUAGGUCUGGGGUUCGAGUCCCUGAUGGCCCACCACAUUAAAUUAACUUAUGGUGGGUAUAGCUCAGUUGGUUAGAGCGCCAGAUUGUGGCUCUGGAGGUCGUGAGUUCGACUCUCAUUAUCCACCCCAACUUAUAUGGUCUAUUAGCUCAGUCGGUAGAGCACCUGACUUUUAAUCAGGGUGUCCCGCGUUCGAGUCGCGGAUAGAUCACCAAAAAGGCGGCGACAUAGCCAAGUGGUAAGGCAGUGGACUGCAACUCCUUGAUCCCCAGUUCGAAUCUGGGUGUCGCCUCCAAUAAAAUGCGCUCAUAGCUCAACUGGAUAGAGUGUCUGACUACGAAUCAGAAGGUUAGGGGUUCGAGUCCCUUUGGGCGCACCAUAUGAAUAGCGAGGGAUUAUAGCUCAGCUGGGAGAGCACCUGCCUUACAAGCAGGGGGUCACAGGUUCGAGCCCUGUUAAUCCCACCAGUGCAAACCUCUAGUAAAACUACUAGAGGUUUUAUUUUUGAUUGAAAAAAUUUUUAUAUUUAGGAGGUAAAAAAUUUGUAUAUAGUAAUAGGAAAUGAAAUAGUUGAUAGUGAAGAACUUAAAAUAAUUAUAGAUAAAAAUAGUGAAUUUAAAGUUGAAAAAGAUUUAAGUAAAAGCACAAAAAGAGAAGAUGUAAUAGCAUAUCAGUUAAGUAUAGAUUUAAAUUACCUAGAUUCUCUUAUAAAUGAGCAAUGUAAUUUAGCCAGUCUAUCUGAUGAAGAGAAAUUUGAUGAAUAUAUGACUUUGUCUGAUGAACUUGCACUGGAUUUAGAAGAGUUAAUGCCAAAAUAUACAAUAAUAAAUGCUAGAGCAUAUAAAUUAGACGAGGUAUAUGGAAUUGUAAAAAUAAUACUAGCUGUAGCGUAUGCAGAUUUAGGGCACUUAAAACUUUCUGAUGUAGUAAAGAGGCUAUCUAGACAAGUAGAUUAGGAUAUGAAUAUGAACUAUAUUAAAAAAAUGUAUAAAAUCUUACGUAAAGAUGAAAAUAAUUAUGUAAACAUAGAAAAAAACAGUAUAAAAUCAAGUCAAUUGUAGAAAUUUUCACAUAAAUUCAUCUGAAAUUCUAUAAAAAAUGCCUUAAUUUUAAUGAGGUAAAUCGAGUUUACACAGUCUAAAAAUUACUUAUAUUUAUAAAUUUAUCUUAUUAAUUAAGGAACUUUCUUAAACAUCUUCAAAAAUAAAGUAUUUUAGUCUAUAAUCUUUAAUAUUACACAAACAAUAAAGGAGAAGAAUAGAGUAUGCUUAAAAAGUUUAAUAAAAUACUAGUGGCUAAUAGAGGCGAAAUAGCUAUAAGAAUAUUUAGAGCCUGUUCAGAAUUGGGGAUAAAAAGUGUUGGUAUAUACAGUAAGGAAGAUAAGUAUGGAUUGUUUAGAACAAAAGCGGAUGAAUCAUAUUUGAUAGGAGAAGGUAAAGGGCCAAUAGAUGCAUAUUUAGAUAUGGAUGGAAUAAUAGACCUAGCAAAGAGAAAAAAAGUUGAUGCUAUACAUCCAGGAUAUGGUUUUCUAGCGGAGAAUGCAGAAUUUGCUCGUAAAUGUGAAGAGAAUGGAAUUACUUUUAUAGGACCAUCAUCUAAGGUAAUGAAUAUGAUGGGGGAUAAGAUUAACUCUAAAAAAAUCGCAAAAGAAGUUAAUGUUCAAACUAUACCAGGAGUAGAAAAAGCAAUAAGAAGUACUGAAGAAGCAAAGGAAGUUGCAAACAAAAUAGGAUAUCCUGUUAUGAUAAAAGCAUCUAAUGGCGGUGGCGGUAGAGGUAUGAGAAUUGUACAUCGCGAAGAAGACUUAGAGCUUGAAUAUGAAACUGCUUGUAGUGAAUCAAGAAAAGCUUUUGGAGAAGAUAUUAUAUUUAUAGAAAAAUAUAUAGCUGAUCCAAAACAUAUAGAAGUUCAAAUAUUAGGUGAUAAUUAUGGAAAUAUAGUUCACUUAUAUGAAAGAGAUUGUUCAGUUCAAAGAAGACAUCAAAAAAUAAUAGAAUAUGCACCAGCUUUUUCGUUAGAUGAUAAAGUAAGAAAAGAGAUAUGUGAAGAUGCAGUUAAGUUAUCAAAACAUGUGGGUUAUUCUAAUGCGGGAACAUUAGAAUUUUUAGUAGAUGCAAAUGGUGGGCAUUAUUUUAUAGAGAUGAACACAAGAGUACAGGUUGAACAUACUGUAACAGAGAUGGUUACAGGAAUAGAUAUAGUUCAAAGUCAAAUACUAAUAGCCCAAGGUUACAGCUUAGAUAGUGAAGAAAUUAAUAUAAAAUCACAAGAUGAUGUGGAAAUAAGAGGUUACUC